Molecule: ribosomal RNA, 254 nt
Filed under: uncultured bacterium
Lineage: Bacteria
Description: partial 16S ribosomal RNA
Rfam family: Bacterial small subunit ribosomal RNA
Source: RNAcentral
UACGUAGGGUGCAAGCGUUUGUCCGGAAUUAUUGGGCGUAAAGAGCUCGUAGGCGGUCUGUCGCGUCGGCUGUGAAAACUCGGGGCUCAACCCCGAGCCUGCAGUCGAUACGGGCAGACUAGAGUCCGGCAGGGGAGACUGGAAUUCCUGGUGUAGCGGUGAAAUGCGCAGAUAUCAGGAGGAACACCGGUGGCGAAGGCGGGUCUCUGGGCCGGAACUGACGCUGAGGAGCGAAAGCGUGGGGAGCGAACAGG